AAAAAAAAAAAAAAAAAAAGUGAUUGACGGGUGCAUGCCGAUGGAUGACGGCACGUUCCUUUUUUUUCUUCUUUUCUUUUUUAACUACGACUUACUCAU
This 99-nucleotide non-coding RNA is filed under the name uncultured eukaryote. The record is from RNAcentral.